GAGGUCUCGAGCGUUAGGCGGAAUCACUGGGCUUAAAGCGUGUGUAGGCGGAUCGUUAAGUACCUUGUGAAAUCCCACGGCUUAACCGUGGAACUGCUUGGUAUACUGGCGGUCUUGAGCCAGCUAGGGGCUACCGGAACAAAUGGUGGAGCGGUGAAAUGCGUAGAUAUCAUUUGGAACGCCAAUGGUGAAAACAGGUAGCUGGGGCUGUGCUGACGCUGAGACACGAAAGCCAGGGGAGCAAACGGG
Molecule: ribosomal RNA, 249 nt
Filed under: uncultured bacterium
Lineage: Bacteria
Description: partial 16S ribosomal RNA
Rfam family: Bacterial small subunit ribosomal RNA
Source: RNAcentral